This 912-nucleotide ribosomal RNA is filed under the name uncultured archaeon. Its description in RNAcentral is "bacterial SSU rRNA". It matches the Rfam family "Archaeal small subunit ribosomal RNA", at positions 23 to 922 of the family's 1478-position model. The record is from RNAcentral.
CCGACUGCUAUUUGGGUGAGAAUAAGCCAUGCGAGUUGAAUGGGAUACCUAAAGUUCCCAUAGCAAACUGCUCAGUAACACAUGAUCAACUUACCCUAUAGAGAAAAAUAACCUCGGGAAACUGAGGAUAAUGUUUCAUAAUUGAAUUGGCUUGGAAAAGUUUUUCAAUGAAAAGGAUAAAAAAAAUGGUUUUUAUCUGCUAUAGGAUAGGAUCGUGUUCGAUUAUGGUUGUUGGUGAGAUAAUGGCUCACCAAGCCGAUAAUCGAUAGGGGCCGUGAGAGCGGGAGCCCCGAGAUGGGUACUGAGACAACGACCCAGGCCUUACGAGGCGCAGCAGGCGCGGAACCUCCGCAAUACACGAAAGUGUGACGGGGUUACCCAAAGUGUUCAAUAGAACUGUGGUAGGUGAGUAAUGUCCCCUACUAGAAAGGAGAGGGCAAGGCUGGUGCCAGCCGCCGCGGUAAAACCAGCUCUUCAAGUGGUCGGGAUAAUUAUUGGGCUUAAAGUGUCCGUAGCCGGUUUAGUAAGUUCCUGGUAAAAUCGGGUAGCUUAACUAUCUGCAUGCUAGGAAUACUGCUAUACUAGAGGGCGGGAGAGGUCUGAGGUACUACAGGGGUAGGGGUGAAAUCUUAUAAUCCUUGUAGGACCACCAGUGGCGAAGGCGUCAGACUGGAACGCGCCUGACGGUGAGGGACGAAAGCCAGGGGAGCAAACCGGAUUAGAUACCCGGGUAGUCCUGGCCGUAAACGAUGCAUACUAGGUGAUGGUGCGGCCAUGAGCCGUAUCAGUGCCGUAGGGAAACCGUUAAGUGUGCCGCCUGGGAAGUACGGUCGCAAGGCUAAAACUUAAAGGAAUUGGCGGGGGAGCACCACAAGGGGUGAAGCCUGCGGUUCAAUUGGAUUCAACGCCGGA